GAACUGCGAUAAGUAAUGUGAAUUGCAGAAUUCAGUGAAUCAUCGAGUCUUUGAACGCACAUUGCGCCCCCUGGCAUUCCGGGGGGCAUGCCUGUCCGAGCGUCAUUGCUGCCCUUCAAGCCCGGCUUGUGUGUUGGGUCGUCGUCCCCCCCGGGGGACGGGCCCGAAAGGCAGCGGCGGCACCGUGUCCGGUCCUCGAGCGUAUGGGGCUUUGUCACCCGCUCGAUUAGGGUCGGCCGGGCGCCAGCCGGCGUCUCCAACCUUAUUUUUCUCAGGUUGACCUCGGAUCAGGUAGGGAUACCCGCUGAACUUAAGC
RNAcentral lists this unclassified non-coding RNA (316 nucleotides) under plant metagenome. Its description in RNAcentral is "partial contains 5.8S ribosomal RNA, internal transcribed spacer 2, and large subunit ribosomal RNA". The stretch from base 1 to 105 matches the Rfam family "5.8S ribosomal RNA", at positions 50 to 154 of the family's 154-position model. The record is from RNAcentral.